AUUUAAAAAAGACAAAUGUAAUAGAAGAAACAAGCCCAUUAACCCAUUUCAAGGAAAAUGAGGUUACAUUUUACUCUUCACAGUGUUUGUUUAGAUUUAGAAUUAAACAGGCUACAGAAUGGGAAAUUGUUCAGAUGACACAAACCUUAAGGGGUGGGUUGCUUGUUUUUUGUUUUGUAUUGUCCUGGUUUUUUAAUUUAUUUUUAAACUCCCCCCCUACCUCUCCCCCCUCACUGUCCCCUUAUAUCUGUGCAGUUCCUGAAACAAAGUGGGCUGGAGAAGUUCAGUCUCAGUUCACAGAAGAGAACAUUCUGUACUCUGCACAACAGGCAGGACUGCUGUAAAACAAGAUCAACAACAUGAUCUCAGCAGCAGCACUACAACAGGGAAACUCUCAAUACUUGAGUCAUCCCAAGGAUUUCUCCUUUUACGUACCCCACACACAGAGCGUGUGAUCAAGGGAAAUCUUCUGUUUGACAUGAAGGGAGGUUGGGGAGAAAGUCAUACAAUGAACCUCAGAACCAGCAUAUUUCCAAGUUAAGAGAGUGCUUGCAGGUGCUAGGGAGCAGGGAGCGCUGGAUCCAUCUACCCCCAUGCCACUGCCAGAAUGUAGACAAGCCCGAUGAGUCCAAAACUUGGACCUGACAGUCAGCAACAUUGAGAUCCUGAGUGGUGAGCAUGCGAUUUCUUCUUUUCUGUAACAGUAUAUCUUUGCUUGUCUGUGCCCUCUAGCAAUAUCUUAGUAAUCUUUGGGGUUUAAAUAGUUAAUUCUAGAAUAUUAUUAUUUUCUGUUGGCCUGAGGUGCAGAUGUGAAUCUUCAACAGGACUUCAAUUGCAGUUGCUUGUGACUUUUUACCUAACAACAUCCUGUAAGGAGAAAAUGCAUCACAUCACACACUUCCUACAAAAAAGAUUCCCAUGAAUGAAAUGUCAUUGAUGCAUUGCAGCUCUGGUGCAAUGGCCAUCGUUUGGAAACAAGUUUGAAUAAAGUCACUAGGCAUUUUGUAAAUUGUAACUAGAAAUAUUAAUGAGGGAUGAACAGUCUGCUCAUGUAAGAGAAAAGACAUCAUUCAGGUGAAUGCUUUCAUAUAAUUCCUAUAAUAUUGAAGGGCUGUUUAAAAAUUUUUGCUGGGGCACACUAUAAUUUGUUCAGGCAGGUAUGAAACUUGCCAGCCGUCCUUCCUGUAGAUAUGCAGGUAUCUCCUGCAUGUAACAUCAACAUGACUGUGUCUUUCUUUGAAAAGUAAGAUUUUUUUCUUUAUAAUAUGCAUGCUAGCCUCACAGUACACCUGUAAGCAACAUGGGUUAGCAGUAUAUUAGGUCUGUAAAAACUCUGUUGCAUAUUGAAAUUCUAUAUGUAUGUAGUUGUUAUGUAAAAAUAUGGUUUUAUAUAGUCGCUAUAUAAAAAAUAAAUCAUAUAUUCAAUUAUUAGGAUCAUAGGUCAAUAAAAACACAACCUUAUCCCUUUUAUCCAUUGUGAAUACAAACCUGUUGUACAUUGCUUUAUAAUGCACAAUUUACCGAAUAAGCAGUAAUAUAGAAUACAGCAUAAUAUCCAGUUAAUAUUAAUAUUAAUAUUCAGUUAAUAUCCACACAUUUUAAGUGUGGCUGAAACAAAGAUAAACCACUAUUUGUUAUCCUUUUUUAAUAUAAAUCUUUUCACUAGAAAAAAGAAGCACUGUUCUAAAUAGUUGUGAUGCUUAUUUGUUUGGCAGUAACAAAUGGCAGUUUCUCUUUGUAGCUGUCACCACAAAGCUGCGUGAAUAUCAAACACCCCAAACUGAUCCAAUAAUACUGAGGGCUCAUUGUUUUUAGUGCUGGAUUCAAAGACAGUCACAUGAAGCUCAUGAAUUAUAGGACUACUAAUUCAAUAUAAAUACUAUGUAGAAUGAAGCAAGGUAGAUAUAGCCGUACAAGGGAGAAAGGCAUGGGAAAAACAUGGAAAAGAAAGAAGAGUAUCUGAAUGAUUCUGGCUAACAAGCAGCUUCCAGACUUACCAAAGACCAUCCCCCUCCCCUUGUAUGGCAGUAUCAGCAGCUUGUACUAAUUGGAAAAGAAUAUUAUUUAAAAUAAUUUGAUAAUUAAAUAACAUUUUAAUAAGAAGCCAUACCAAUUCAUACUGUGGUCUGGUCAGGUCUCAUAAACCAGGCAGAGGCUUUGGACGAAAUGUGAAAGAUGCUGUCUACAGGUAGCAAUUAAAAAUUACUUUUAGUGACAACAGAGGUGCUACUCUCCUGUUUAAAUUCCAGCUUGAGUUUGUCAUGACCCAAAGGCAUGAUUUUGUGUGUGCUUCGGCACCAGAAUUAUCCCCGCC
Molecule: long non-coding RNA, 2314 nt
Organism: Alligator sinensis (Chinese alligator)
Lineage: Eukaryota; Metazoa; Chordata; Crocodylia; Alligatoridae
Exons: 3
Source: RefSeq, a predicted model, not a curated record